AUUGAGCCAAGAACACGUGGUUUGCAAUGACUUUACAGAGGAGCUCUGUGUCUUUGUCCUCCAUGUUGAUUCACAGUGAUUAUUAAGGGUUCCUAAUAUCUACAGCUAUAUUAUGAAUAGAAGAUUGAUGUACUCGUCUAGAGAGAGAAGGGUGGGAGAGAAUUGGAGGUUUUAGGUUCAGUUCUUGCAGGGAUGAGGAAGACAAGAUCGGAAGAGUGUCGUGU
Long non-coding RNA from Ipomoea nil (Japanese morning glory), 224 nucleotides. RefSeq lists it as uncharacterized. The transcript has 3 exons. The record is from RefSeq and is a predicted model, not a curated record. Lineage: Eukaryota; Viridiplantae; Streptophyta; Magnoliopsida; Solanales; Convolvulaceae.